Molecule: ribosomal RNA, 1492 nt
Filed under: Lactiplantibacillus pentosus
Lineage: Bacteria; Bacillati; Bacillota; Bacilli; Lactobacillales; Lactobacillaceae
Description: bacterial SSU rRNA
Rfam family: Bacterial small subunit ribosomal RNA
Source: RNAcentral
GACGAACGCUGGCGGCGUGCCUAAUACAUGCAAGUCGAACGAACUCUGGUAUUGAUUGGUGCUUGCAUCAUGAUUUACAUUUGAGUGAGUGGCGAACUGGUGAGUAACACGUGGGAAACCUGCCCAGAAGCGGGGGAUAACACCUGGAAACAGAUGCUAAUACCGCAUAACAACUUGGACCGCAUGGUCCGAGUUUGAAAGAUGGCUUCGGCUAUCACUUUUGGAUGGUCCCGCGGCGUAUUAGCUAGAUGGUGGGGUAACGGCUCACCAUGGCAAUGAUACGUAGCCGACCUGAGAGGGUAAUCGGCCACAUUGGGACUGAGACACGGCCCAAACUCCUACGGGAGGCAGCAGUAGGGAAUCUUCCACAAUGGACGAAAGUCUGAUGGAGCAACGCCGCGUGAGUGAAGAAGGGUUUCGGCUCGUAAAACUCUGUUGUUAAAGAAGAACAUAUCUGAGAGUAACUGUUCAGGUAUUGACGGUAUUUAACCAGAAAGCCACGGCUAACUACGUGCCAGCAGCCGCGGUAAUACGUAGGUGGCAAGCGUUGUCCGGAUUUAUUGGGCGUAAAGCGAGCGCAGGCGGUUUUUUAAGUCUGAUGUGAAAGCCUUCGGCUCAACCGAAGAAGUGCAUCGGAAACUGGGAAACUUGAGUGCAGAAGAGGACAGUGGAACUCCAUGUGUAGCGGUGAAAUGCGUAGAUAUAUGGAAGAACACCAGUGGCGAAGGCGGCUGUCUGGUCUGUAACUGACGCUGAGGCUCGAAAGUAUGGGUAGCAAACAGGAUUAGAUACCCUGGUAGUCCAUACCGUAAACGAUGAAUGCUAAGUGUUGGAGGGUUUCCGUCCUUCAGUGCUGCAGCUAACGCAUUAAGCAUUCCGCCUGGGGAGUACGGCCGCAAGGCUGAAACUCAAAGGAAUUGACGGGGGCCCGCACAGGCGGUGGAGCAUGUGGUUUAAUUCGAAGCUACGCGAAGAACCUUACCAGGUCUUGACAUACUAUGCAAAUCUAAGAGAUUAGACGUUCCCUUCGGGGACAUGGAUACAGGUGGUGCAUGGUUGUCGUCAGCUCGUGUCGUGAGAUGUUGGGUUAAGUCCCGCAACGAGCGCAACCCUUAUUAUCAGUUGCCAGCAUUAAGUUGGGCACUCUGGUGAGACUGCCGGUGACAAACCGGAGGAAGGUGGGGAUGACGUCAAAUCAUCAUGCCCCUUAUGACCUGGGCUACACACGUGUUACAAUGGAUGGUACAACGAGUUGCGAACUCGCGAGAGUAAGCUAAUCUCUUAAAGCCAUUCUCAGUUCGGAUUGUAGGCUGCAACUCGCCUACAUGAAGUCGGAAUCGCUAGUAAUCGCGGAUCAGCAUGCCGCGGUGAAUACGUUCCCGGGCCUUGUACACACCGCCCGUCACACCAUGAGAGUUUGUAACACCCAAAGUCGGUGGGGUAACCUUUUAGGAACCAGCCGCCUAAGGUGGGACAGAUGAUUAGGGUGAAG